UUCAACCCACUGAGUCUCCCAGGUGCCUCAAGAAUACUAUCAUUCUUAAAGAAUAUUUUCUGAUAAAAUAUAGCUUCACCAGCUUUCAUCCUUUUUUUCUCACCCUUUUAGUGUCUUUAUGUUUCAGCUUUGACUACCAUAAACAGCCUGCGAAUUUUGUUACCUACUAUGAUAGUCUACUGUGAACUUGUUUGUUUUUUUUUUUUUAGCUCAUUUACAUUAUUAAAAUUACUGAGUCUGGGCCUAUUUCUAACAUCUUAUAUGGUGCUUAUGGUGCUUCCUAUUUGUUCUUCUUUUUCUUUUCCUCCACUUUCCCCCUGUCUCACUUUCAUUGAAUUGAUAAGUUUUUGGCUCUUUCUGUGUGGAAGUUAUAUACACUGUUUUUGCUUGUUUUUUAAAGGUUGCUAGUCAAAUUUUGAUAUGCAUAUAUAGCUUAAUAAUGCUUAAUAUUAAUUAAUAACUAUAUGAGAAUUUUAGAACACUUAAGUCUAAUCACCAGCCUCUUAUUCUACAUGUUAUUGCUAGCAAGUAUUUUAUUUCUGCCCUGUCUUUUACUGUUUCCUCCUAUCCAUUAAGACUCAUAUCUCUAAGUUUAUGAAAAUUGCAAAUAUUUCCUGUGAUUUGUUACUUGCAACCACACGAACUUUUAAAGGAUUAAAGAGUAGCUUUUCCAACUUCAUGUUGGGUGUCUCUACUAAGAUUUCACUCCCUCAACACUAUGUAAUAACCAGCAAUUGAUAUUAUUAUUUUUAUUUUUAGGCAUACAGAAUUGCUUCUGCAUAAUGAAAUUAUACUCAGAGGAAGAAGAUUGCAUGUUCGUAUUUUAGCUAUAAGGAUAGAUAGCAACUAAAUGUCUGAGAACUUUUCCUCUUAUUCUGAAUUUCAGAGAUUAUCUCAUUAGAAUUUCAACUCCACCAAAUAGAGAUAAUGUUGUAAACUAAGUAAUUUAUUGAGAGCUUGCUGUGAAGGAGUUUAUCAGUAUUCUGUGGAAAGGCAUAAGGUGAAAUCUGCUUCUAGCAAGUGAACUCUAGAAAGUCACACUGAUAAGAUCAUGGAGAAAAGAAAGCCUGUACUAGAAACUUGUGAGACUUGAGCUGUCAUAAACCAAGGUACUUGGCACCAGAGGUGAACUCUGAGGACAAGGUUCAAAAUGGUGAUGAGCAGCAAAUGGUUAAGAUAACCUCAUUCUGCCCUGAUGUCCAGGGCUUAUAACACUUGUAUUAUUCUUCCAUUAGCUUUAUGGGUCCCAUUUUGGCUAUGAGCCAAGACAGUGAGGAAGUGUCAGUGUGAGCCUUCAAGGCUGCAAUGGGAAGGCAAAGAGGAACAUAUAUGAAUGAGCUGGAUCCAUCAUCUGUGAGCAGAGAAGAUUAGGGGGCACAGUCUGGCCCAGCAAAAGAUAUUUCUAGGCGCCAGUAUUUCACUGCGAUAAUCUUAAGUGUUAGAUUCAAAGGGUCAGUCCAGGCUCAAGCUGUCAGGUGUAUGCAAGAAAUCCAGGAGCUCAGGUGUUGGUGAAAACAAAGUACAGAUGGUCUCAUAAAUAGCAAUAAUUUGCUUUCCUUUGCCUUUUUUUUGAACACCUACUGCAUACCAAGCAAUUCAUAUACAUUAUCUCUAGUGUUCCCAAGGAUCUUGAAAAAUUGGAGUAUUUUCAGUCCCCAUUUUACAUGAAGAAACUGAGAUUAAAAGGUAUGAAGAGACUUGACCAUUUUACAUCUAUACAUCAGCAAAACUAGGGUCUAAAUACUAGUUUAUUUCACUCUGGAGUCUGAUUUUUCCACUACCCCUAGCACCUCUCAAUGAAAUGAACUCAUUGUUUCAAUUGGGUCUUGACAGUUCCAACCAUAGGUUAGACUGAAAAAUAUGCAUUUUUCUUACUUUAAAAUAUAUCUUGGAUAGAUUUUCUUAUUCUGCACUCUUUUCACAUCCUAUUCCUCAAGUUGUUUUUAUUAUGCAUAGAUCUGGAGGCAACUAAUAGACAUUUAAAAAGUCAGGUCAAAAAAUAAGAUAGCUGAGAGCCAAUAUGUGGAAAGAUUACUACUAUAUUCAAUUAAAAAAAGUUUAUAGUACAUGUGAUAAAUGGGUACUUUCCACAAGAUGCCCUAGGAAUAGGUUUAUGAUUUUGAUUUGGGGAAAAUUGUUUACUUAAUAAGAUCUGUGGUCUUAUUUAAUGGAAACGAGUACUGGAAGAUUGUCACAGGUCUUAUGUAGAUUUGUACUAUUUGCCAGAGAUAGUAAAUAAGAUUGUCACUGCAGCUGAUUAAUUUUCAGGACAAAAUUUGCAUCUCCUCUCUUCAGGGAUAUUGUUGCCAUGGUGAUAUUGUGACAUCAAGCUUUGUGCAGAGGGUUGCUGCCUCUUACCUGUAGACUUUGGCUUGCACUGUGUAGGAAGAAUUUCUGGACCACUUGGAGAAAUUUAUAUAUAAAUUUAACAUAUAUAAUAUGUCAAAGCCAAGAGGGACCAAUGGAUGAGAAGAGGAAACCUGAUCUCAAUGUUAUAUGCCUAUGGAAAAAGAAGAUUCCAUAAAGUAGAAUGAAAAUAAAGGCAAAAUAUAUAGUCUUAGA
Long non-coding RNA from Felis catus (domestic cat), 2562 nucleotides. RefSeq lists it as uncharacterized. The transcript is spliced from 2 exons. NCBI's taxonomy places the organism in Eukaryota, Metazoa, Chordata, Mammalia, Carnivora, Felidae. The record is from RefSeq and is a predicted model, not a curated record.